RNAcentral lists this transfer RNA (98 nucleotides) under Aedes aegypti (yellow fever mosquito). It matches the Rfam family "tRNA". Rfam says of the family: Transfer RNA (tRNA) molecules are approximately 80 nucleotides in length. Their secondary structure includes four short double-helical elements and three loops (D, anti-codon, and T loops). The record is from Rfam by way of RNAcentral. Lineage: Eukaryota; Metazoa; Arthropoda; Insecta; Diptera; Culicidae.
CCUUCGAUAGCUCAGUUGGUAGAGCGGUGGACUGUAGUUGAUGCCCGCAAGGUCAAAUAGUAAUCCAUAGGUCGCUGGUUCAAAUCCGGCUCGAAGGA